AUUUCUGCUUGUUUUACCAGGUGGCGUCACUGACUCUAUACACAAAGUAUCGAACCUGGAAAGCCAAGUUAACAUAAUGACAGCAAAUGUAUCAGCAAGGACACAUAUUGCAUGACUUGCAGACCAGCCAAGCAAGAAUUGAAAGGUACGGGAGGAAGUGGGGACUUGGCUGUCUACUGGAUGUCCCUUUGUUAAAAAAAGAACUGUAAGAAACUGUAUGACAAAUGUUUUUCAAGUUUGUUCGUUUGAACCGUUCUUGAAAGAUUAAAUAUUUCCAAUGAAA
Molecule: long non-coding RNA, 283 nt
Organism: Branchiostoma belcheri (Belcher's lancelet)
Lineage: Eukaryota; Metazoa; Chordata; Leptocardii; Amphioxiformes; Branchiostomatidae
Exons: 4
Source: RefSeq, a predicted model, not a curated record